AGAUGAUCCCAACAAUGACUAGACAAUAGGCUUGAAGCAAGUUUCCGGGACCAAGCCAAACCCACGCUGCCUGUGGCCCAAUCUAUAAUGAAUGAUUGGGGAUGUUGGAAAAUGCUGUGUGUCAUAUAUCACCCAAGGAACAAUUUCCUGGUGUCAACUUUUUAAAAGUGUUUUCCAAGAGGACUUGGAAAAAUAAAAAAAAAAUUCCACAAGACAACAUCACACUCCUUGAGCUUUGUAGAAGUCUUUGACGUGCUCAGAUGAAAGAAACGGUCCUCUGUAAUUAAUGUAAGCCUGUGGACAAUCCCCUAAGGUCUGAUAGGUGUUGAACCAAGCCUGGCGGAUGCAGAGGAAGCAGCAGGAGGUAUUCCAGCCCUGUUUGCAGCUUCAAGAAAAGUUAGAUGAGCCCCGAGUCUGUUGUCACCAUUUCCCCACAAAUGAGGCAGAAAUGAAACCAAACCAGAGCCCCUACUGAGAACCUGGAUAUACAGAAAGGCUAUGAUCAUCUUUGGCCCUGGCAAAGCUACUAAACUGCCUCAGUUUCUCCACUGGAACUGAAGAUGGAUGCAGCUUGGACCAAAGGAUACUAUUCUCUAUAGAAGCAGCAGCAGCAGCCAGUCAGUGCUGCGAACCAUAACUGCAUGAGUUCUUAUGUCACCAUGAUUAUUGGAAAGAAGAGCAUGGUUGCAUUCAACUCUAUCUGUGGUCAUAUGAUCAAAGACCAAGGAAUGACAAAUCCUGC
This 742-nucleotide long non-coding RNA is filed under the name Homo sapiens (human). RNAcentral's name for it is "HSALNT0327221". The record is from RNAcentral. Lineage: Eukaryota; Metazoa; Chordata; Mammalia; Primates; Hominidae.